This 504-nucleotide ribosomal RNA is filed under the name uncultured bacterium. RNAcentral's name for it is "partial 16S ribosomal RNA". It matches the Rfam family "Bacterial small subunit ribosomal RNA", at positions 29 to 523 of the family's 1533-position model. The record is from RNAcentral.
AUUGAACGCUGGCGGCAGGCCUAACACAUGCAAGUCGAACGGCAGCACAGAAGGGCUUGCUCUUUGGGUGGCGAGUGGCGGACGGGUGAGUAAUGUCUGGGAAACUGCCCGAUGGAGGGGGAUAACUACUGGAAACGGUAGCUAAUACCGCAUAACGUCGCGAGACCAAAGUGGGGGACCUUCGGGUCUCACACCAUCGGAUGUGCCCAGAUGGGAUUAGCUAGUAGGGGGGGUAAUGGCUCACCGAGGCGACGAUCCCUAGCUGGUCUGAGGAUGACCAGCCACACUGGAACUGAGACACGGUCCAGACUCCUACGGGAGGCAGCAGUGGGGAAUAUUGCACAAUGGGCGCAAGCCUGAUGCAGCCAUGCCGCGUGUAUGAAGAAGGCCUUCGGGUUGUGAAGUACUUUCAGCGGGGAGGAAGGCGGUGAGGUUAAUAACCUUGCCGACUGACGUUACCCGCAGAAGAAGCACCGGCUAACUCCGUGCCAGCCGCCGCGGUAA